RNAcentral lists this ribosomal RNA (497 nucleotides) under uncultured bacterium. RNAcentral's name for it is "partial 16S ribosomal RNA". It matches the Rfam family "Bacterial small subunit ribosomal RNA", at positions 28 to 507 of the family's 1533-position model. The record is from RNAcentral.
GAUGAACGCUGGCGGCGUGCCUAAUACAUGCAAGUCGAGCGAACAGAUGAGGAGCUUGCUCCUCUGACGUUAGCGGCGGACGGGUGAGUAACACGUGGAUAACCUACCUAUAUGACUGGGUUAAUUUCGGAAAACCGGACCAAUUACGGGUGAAUAAUUUAAACGGCUGGGUUCAUUAGUAAAUACCGGUUUUCCUGUAAUUAUUAGUGGAUUCCGCGCCGAAUUGGCUAGUUGGUAAGGUAACGGCUUACCAAGGAAACGAUGCGUAGCCGACCUGAGAGGGUGAUCGGCCACACUGGAACUGAGACACGGUCCAGACUCCUACGGGAGGCAGCAGUAGGGAAUCUUCCGCAAUGGGCGAAAGCCUGACGGAGCCACGCCGCGUGAGUGAUGAAGGUCUUCGGAUCGUAAAACUCUGUUAUUAGGGAAGAACAAAUGUGUAAGUAACUAUGCACGUAUUGACGGUACCUAAUCAGAAAGCCACGGCUAACUACGUG